UUUCCACUUAGCAGAACUCCAAUCCAUCUGAUCCAACUUCAGGGUCAUCUUAACAUUUCCAGGAGCCUGAGAAGGCGGACGACUCUGCAGCACUAGGAACGGAGCUCGAUAGUACUCAACCGUGCAGUUGUAAUCCUUGAACUUAAAAAUUAAAGAACCAGUGUGCUUUGUGAUCGGACUACCAUUAACUUCAUAUAUAGAGCUGUUAUCAGAAACUGCAGAAGACAACAAACAGA
This 236-nucleotide unclassified non-coding RNA is filed under the name Hevea brasiliensis (rubber tree). The record is from RNAcentral. Lineage: Eukaryota; Viridiplantae; Streptophyta; Magnoliopsida; Malpighiales; Euphorbiaceae.